CUGGUGAGGAUAUGGGGAGGCUGGGGGAGGCCACCACACUGCCGUGGUUUCUCCCGCCAAAUUCCCCAGUCCUAGGAAAGAUCCACAGGAAAACCCACAAGAAUUUGAACGUCUGAGCUGGGGCUGUGAUGGAAAUGAAAUUUUUUAAAAAGAAAGAAAAACAAAAAUAGAAAAAAAAGAUUUAAAAAAACAACCCAACUUCAGCUGCCAGAAGGGCCCAAGGCAGCAGCCACGUCGGAAGGAGGAGGGGGCCUUAAGGUGCUUUGCACAUCACUGGGCCCCUGGGCCCCCCGGGCUGGGGCUGUCCCUUCAGCUCCAGUUCCUUAGACUAGCUUGGAAUUCCAUCCGUUCCUUUGGGAGGGCAUCAGGCUCUGCCUCACAAGGCCGGGCUGGGGUCCCUUCCUGUUAGCCCAGACUCCUACCUACACUCAGACGACUGCAGUUGCCUCCUGCCAGGUCCCUAGGUCUCCUCGCCUCUAGACCUGACCCCUGAUCCUACCCUUCAGGAGAUGGCCGGGCAGGGCACAGAGGAGGGAUAGCCCCUGGAGGGGACUGAGGAGGGCCGGCAGCAGCUGCCUGCCGCUGGCUCCCCACUCCCUUGGCACCAGCCGCUCUCUGCCUCCCUCCUACCUCAUCUGAUCCACAGGCCCCAGGGAUGGGGGCCUUCACUGAACUGGGGGCUUCGGAAGUCUGGGGGAGGACGGGCUGACAAAUUUCAUUGCAGAUGCACUGAGUUUGCGGGGCCUGAGAGAUGCAAAGAAAUUUGCAUUGUCCUAGGUAUUUCAAAGGAAUUAUUACCUCAUUCCAUCCUGACAGCAACUUAAUGAGGUAAGUGCUCUCAUUAUCCCCCUUAGGUGAGGGCAAGGAAGCACAGAGAGGUUAGGUAACCUGGCCAAAGUCACACAGUUAGUGAGUGGUGACGCUAGAUUCGAACUCAAGAAACUUUCCUCUAACUACAGCCAUGUGGGAAACAGGAGAUAGAGCCCGGUGCUGGGAGAUGGGAGGCUCAAGUCACAGUUCCGUCCUGCGCCCAAGGCUCCUCUUCAUCCUCCAGGGGAGAACCCGACCAAGG
RNAcentral lists this long non-coding RNA (1072 nucleotides) under Equus asinus (donkey). RNAcentral's name for it is "lncRNA (ENSEASG00005034400.1, ENSEASG00020035642.1)". Lineage: Eukaryota; Metazoa; Chordata; Mammalia; Perissodactyla; Equidae. The record is from RNAcentral.